This 497-nucleotide ribosomal RNA is filed under the name uncultured bacterium. Its description in RNAcentral is "partial 16S ribosomal RNA". It matches the Rfam family "Bacterial small subunit ribosomal RNA", at positions 28 to 507 of the family's 1533-position model. The record is from RNAcentral.
GAUGAACGCUGGCGGUGUGCCUAAUACAUGCAAGUCGAGCGAACAGAUGAGGAGCUUGCUCCUCUGACGUUAGCGGCGGACGGGUGAGUAACACGUGGAUAACCUACCUAUAAGACUGGGAUAACUUCGGGAAACCGGAGCUAAUACCGGAUAAUAUAUUGAACCGCAUGGUUCAAUAGUGAAAGACGGUUUUGCUGUCACUUAUAGAUGGAUCCGCGCCGCAUUAGCUAGUUGGUAAGGUAACGGCUUACCAAGGCAACGAUGCGUAGCCGACCUGAGAGGGUGAUCGGCCACACUGGAACUGAGACACGGUCCAGACUCCUACGGGAGGCAGCAGUAGGGAAUCUUCCGCAAUGGGCGAAAGCCUGACGGAGCAACGCCGCGUGAGUGAUGAAGGUCUUCGGAUCGUAAAACUCUGUUAUUAGGGAAGAACAAAUGUGGAAGUAACUAUGCACGUCUUGACGGUACCUAAUCAGAAAGCCACGGCUAACUACGUG